GGCUCAACCUGGGAACUGCAUUCGAAACUGGCAGGCUUGAGUCUUGUAGAGGGGGGUAGAAUUCCAGGUGUAGCGGUGAAAUGCGUAGAGAUCUGGAGGAAUACCGGUGGCGAAGGCGGCCCCCUGGACAAAGACUGACGCUCAGGUGCGAAAGCGUGGGGAGCAAACAGGAUUAGAUACCCUGGUAGUCCACGCCGUAAACGAUGUCUACUUGGAGGUUGUGCCCUUGAGGCGUGGCUUCCGGAGCUAACGCGUUAAGUAGACCGCCUGGGGAGUACGGCCGCAAGGUUAAAACUCAAAUGAAUUGACGGGGGCCCGCACAAGCGGUGGAGCAUGUGGUUUAAUUCGAUGCAACGCGAAGAACCUUACCUGGUCUUGACAUCCACAGAACUUUCCAGAGAUGGAUUGGUGCCUUCGGGAACUGUGAGACAGGUGCUGCAUGGCUGUCGUCAGCUCGUGUUGUGAAAUGUUGGGUUAAGUCCCGCAACGAGCGCAAC
Molecule: ribosomal RNA, 497 nt
Filed under: Salmonella enterica
Lineage: Bacteria; Pseudomonadati; Pseudomonadota; Gammaproteobacteria; Enterobacterales; Enterobacteriaceae
Description: bacterial SSU rRNA
Rfam family: Bacterial small subunit ribosomal RNA
Source: RNAcentral